GGAUCGCUUAGUCUCGCUUUUUCGACUAAAGACGAAGGCUCGACAAAAAGGAGUUUGGUAACCUCAUGAAUAAUAUAUCAAAAGAAAGGCAAAUAAUACCGGGGGUACCUUAAAAACAUUUGAUUUUUAUAGAAAAAUCUUAGGAUUGGUUUAAACUCAACAUUAACUAUAGCUUGAACUUUCUUAUUUUUGGUUCAAAUUUGACGUUAUGUCUAUGUACUUUAUGUUGAUUCCUUCCCAUUUUCAAAUGUCUGGAAUCUCGGAAAUUAGAUCAGUGACCAACUUAAAUUUUUCAAUUUUUCAUUAUCUUUUUAUAAUUUCUACGCGCAUACAAUUUCUUUUAAAAAUUGCAGGACAAGCCAUUUACUUACCUGUUACCUUUAGGAGGCUCACGGGUAUAAGAUUUUCAGAAAAAAAUUAAACAUUUAUUUUUCAUGAC
This 439-nucleotide long non-coding RNA is filed under the name Mytilus galloprovincialis (Mediterranean mussel). The record is from RNAcentral. Lineage: Eukaryota; Metazoa; Mollusca; Bivalvia; Mytilida; Mytilidae.